RNAcentral lists this ribosomal RNA (275 nucleotides) under uncultured bacterium. RNAcentral's name for it is "partial 16S ribosomal RNA". It matches the Rfam family "Bacterial small subunit ribosomal RNA", at positions 338 to 605 of the family's 1533-position model. The record is from RNAcentral.
CCUACGGGUGGCUGCAGUCGAGAAUCAUUCACAAUGGGGGCAACCCUGAUGGUGCAACGCCGCGUGGAGGAUGAAGGUCUUCGGAUUGUAAACUCCUGUCAUCUAGGAGCAAGGCAUGGUGGUCAAUAGCCAACAUGAUUGAUAGUACUAGAAGAGGAAGGGACGGCUAACUUCGUGCCAGCAGCCGCGGUAAUACGAAGGUCCCGAGCGUUAUUCGGAAUCACUGGGCGUAAAGGGAGCGUAGGCGGCGUGGAAAGUCAGAUGUGAAAUCCCGG